GCGUUGGCCCAAUUGAUUGAUGGUGCUUGCACCUGAUUGAUUUUGGUCGCCAACGAGUGGCGGACGGGUGAGUAACACGUAGGUAACCUGCCCAGAAGCGGGGGACAACAUUUGGAAACAGAUGCUAAUACCGCAUAACAGCGUUGUUCGCAUGAACAACGCUUAAAAGAUGGCUUCUCGCUAUCACUUCUGGAUGGACCUGCGGUGCAUUAGCUUGUUGGUGGGGUAACGGCCUACCAAGGCGAUGAUGCAUAGCCGAGUUGAGAGACUGAUCGGCCACAAUGGGACUGAGACACGGCCCAUACUCCUACGGGAGGCAGCAGUAGGGAAUCUUCCACAAUGGGCGCAAGCCUGAUGGAGCAACACCGCGUGAGUGAAGAAGGGUUUCGGCUCGUAAAGCUCUGUUGUUAAAGAAGAACACGUAUGGGGAGUAACUGUUCAUACGUUGACGGUAUUUAACCAGAAAGUCACGGCUAACUACGUGCCAGCAGCCGCGGUAAUACGUAGGUGGCAAGCGUUAUCCGGAUUUAUUGGGCGUAAAGAGAGUGCAGGCGGUUUUCUAAGUCUGAUGUGAAAGCCUUCGGCUUAACCGGAGAAGUGCAUCGGAAACUGGAUAACUUGAGUGCAGAAGAGGGUAGUGGAACUCCAUGUGUAGCGGUGGAAUGCGUAGAUAUAUGGAAGAACACCAGUGGCGAAGGCGGCUACCUGGUCUGCAACUGACGCUGAGACUCGAAAGCAUGGGUAGCGAACAGGAUUAGAUACCCUGGUAGUCCAUGCCGUAAACGAUGAGUGCUAGGUGUUGGAGGGUUUCCGCCCUUCAGUGCCGGAGCUAACGCAUUAAGCACUCCGCCUGGGGAGUACGACCGCAAGGUUGAAACUCAAAGGAAUUGACGGGGGCCCGCACAAGCGGUGGAGCAUGUGGUUUAAUUCGAAGCUACGCGAAGAACCUUACCAGGUCUUGACAUCUUGCGCCAACCCUAGAGAUAGGGCGUUUCCUUCGGGAACGCAAUGACAGGUGGUGCAUGGUCGUCGUCAGCUCGUGUCGUGAGAUGUUGGGUUAAGUCCCGCAACGAGCGCAACCCUUGUUACUAGUUGCCAGCAUUAAGUUGGGCACUCUAGUGAGACUGCCGGUGACAAACCGGAGGAAGGUGGGGACGACGUCAGAUCAUCAUGCCCCUUAUGACCUGGGCUACACACGUGCUACAAUGGACGGUACAACGAGUCGCGAACUCGCGAGGGCAAGCAAAUCUCUUAAAACCGUUCUCAGUUCGGACUGCAGGCUGCAACUCGCCUGCACGAAGUCGGAAUCGCUAGUAAUCGCGGAUCAGCAUGCCGCGGUGAAUACGUUCCCGGGCCUUGUACACACCGCCCGUCACACCAUGAGAGUUUGUAACACCCAAAGUCGGUGGGGUAACCUUUUAGGAGCCAGCCGCCUAAGGUGAUCC
This 1445-nucleotide ribosomal RNA is filed under the name Limosilactobacillus fermentum. RNAcentral describes it as "bacterial SSU rRNA". It matches the Rfam family "Bacterial small subunit ribosomal RNA". Lineage: Bacteria; Bacillati; Bacillota; Bacilli; Lactobacillales; Lactobacillaceae. The record is from RNAcentral.